This 477-nucleotide ribosomal RNA is filed under the name uncultured anaerobic ammonium-oxidizing bacterium. RNAcentral describes it as "bacterial SSU rRNA". It matches the Rfam family "Bacterial small subunit ribosomal RNA", at positions 365 to 832 of the family's 1533-position model. The record is from RNAcentral.
UUCGCAAUGCCCGAAAGGGUGACGAAGCGACGCCGCGUGGGUGAGGAAGGCCUUCGGGUUGUAAAGCCCUGUCAGGAGUUAAGAAAUAUAAGUGCGCUAAUAUCGCAUUUAUUUGACGAAGGCUCCAAAGGAAGCCACGGCUAACUCUGUGCCAGCAGCCGCGGUAAUACAGAGGUGGCAAGCGUUGUUCGGAAUUAUUGGGCGUAAAGAGCACGUAGGUGGGUUUGUAAGUCAGAUGUGAAAGCCUUCUGUUCAACGGAAGAAUUGCAUCUGAAACUGCAAGUCUUGAGUGUAGGAGGGGAGAAUGGAACUUCUGGUGGAGCGGUAAAAUGCGUAGAUAUCAGAAGGAACGCCGGCGGCGAAAGCGAUUCUCUGGCCUAUUACUGACACUCAGUGUGCGAAAGCUAGGGGAGCAAACGGGAUUAGAUACCCCGGUAGUCCUAGCUGUAAACGAUGGGCACUAAGUAGAGGGGUUUU